UUGGAAUAACUGUACUUUACAGUAGGAGGUAGUACAGUCGCUGGGUGUUUUAUCUAACUUCGUGAUUGUUGACCAACGCCGCGAAGUUCUUGGUCGGUUGAUUUGAAGUCUCUGAUGCAGAAGAUGUCGACCAUUCCACUUGUCAGAUUAGACUUUUAUCUCCUCCGGGCUCAUUUGGUAACUUAUUUUUUCCGGCAAAUUAAAGGGGCUUUACUGGUUUGAAUGGCAGUGGCAACAAGAUUCAAAAGGUUUUCGAAGCACGAAUUCUAUGAGAGGCUGCUAGCUGAGCAGAAUUAACUCGUGACAAGCAAGUCCUGUGUUUCUAGGCAUAUGAACUACUAUUUUAGCUAUCGUCGACUCUUCUGAUAUAAUGGCUAGAUAGUUCUUGAAUUGAACCUAGCACAGAUUCCCAGUCUACAGAUUACCAGCAAGUUCAUUGCUUAGAAAUGGCGGAGGCAAUUUCUAAGCUUUUCAACGUUAUUUUCUAUGAUUGGAAUUGUAAAGAGUCAUGUUCAGAUGUGCGUAUUAUCCUUUUAUUUGUAAACUGAAAAUUUUCACCUGCAGUCGUCUGAAAUUUCUGGCAUUAAACUAAA
Long non-coding RNA from Macrobrachium nipponense, 593 nucleotides. RefSeq lists it as uncharacterized. The record is from RefSeq and is a predicted model, not a curated record. The transcript is spliced from 3 exons. NCBI's taxonomy places the organism in Eukaryota, Metazoa, Arthropoda, Malacostraca, Decapoda, Palaemonidae.